RNAcentral lists this unclassified non-coding RNA (526 nucleotides) under Sebacinaceae sp. 1 CG-2012. Its description in RNAcentral is "sequence contains ITS1, 5.8S rRNA gene, ITS2". The stretch from base 173 to 326 matches the Rfam family "5.8S ribosomal RNA". The record is from RNAcentral. Lineage: Eukaryota; Fungi; Basidiomycota; Agaricomycetes; Sebacinales; Sebacinaceae.
UAAUGAUUACGAAUCGUUGCCUUCUGUGCUGGCCAGAACACUGGCAAGUGCACGUCGGUGGCUUUCAUCCAAUCCCCUGUGAACCUUCGGCCUUUGCUAGCCUCGGCCGGCAGAGGAAUUUACACACACUCGAAUGUAAUGAAUAUAUUGUCGUGCGCAAGCACUAAUGUACAACUUUCAACAACGGAUCUCUUGGCUCUCGCAUCGAUGAAGAACGCAGCGAAAUGCGAUAAGUAAUGUGAAUUGCAGAAUUCAGUGAAUCAUCGAAUCUUUGAACGCACCUUGCACCCUUUGGCAUUCCGAAGGGUAUGCUCGUUUGAGUGUCAUUGUACUCUCACACUCCCGAUUUGUUGGGAGCGGUGGACUUGGGUGCUGCUGCUUACUGUGGCUCACCUCAAAUCGAUUCGUGCAUCUCUUGGUUGGACAUAGUACGGCGUGAUAAGUGUCUUCGCCGGCGCCUCACUCGAGGGUGGCCGAUCGGGAGCUCUGUGCUUCUAACCGUCCUCGGACAGCAACUGACAACUUG